UGUAGAAGCCCAAAUUUGCCGGGCCCAUACCAACAAAAUAACCCAAACAAUAAACCCGAAGCCCAACUACCCCAGCCCAUUAACCUAAGCUCAGCAUUCAGAAACCCUAAUCCCACUAACCCUAGCCACCUACCCCCCACUUGCCCACUUGCCCACUUGCGCCGAACACCACCAUGCCACUGUCGGCCAUGGCCACCUGCAAGAAGCCAAGUAGAAAUAAACAAAUAGAAAAUAAACAUUUGUAAUCGGUUAUAAAAACCGAAAAUCUCACCAUUGAUAGGGGGAUUUUUUAUUUUUUGCUAUGAAAACAAAAGAUUUUCUUUCAAUAUUAACAGAUUCAAUACAAGAACCAUUCGAAAAUAUAUAUACUAUCAGGGGCUCUAACACCAAAUCGGAGAAUCAAAUCUAAAACCUAAGGUGACUCUUUCUUUUUUUUUUCUUUACUGUUUUGAGUUUAUUUUCUACAUAAAAAAAAAAAGGGAGAGGCCAAGGCGAAAACCCGCAAAGGGCACCUUGAAACCAAAGGGGUUUUGAAUUGAAAACCCAGGAAUGGGCAAUUCAAAUUUUCGAUCAAAGAUGAGGCAUAAAGUAGUUUUGUCUUCUUCGAAUUAACAAGAAGGAAAGAUGCUACAUCUUGGGGCAUCAACAAAGCCUUCUAGGACUUCUAAACACAUAUCAAGUUCAAAAGGGUCCUUAAGAAGUUUGGGGCAGAGAAGCUCAUGCUACGAUAUCUGGGGCACCUAUUUCUAUUUUAUUCAUUUUUUUGUAUUUUUGACAAAAUACAUCAUCUUGAUUAAUUUAUUCUCGUUUUGUAUUCUAGCAAAAUUUGCUAUCUUGAUUAAUUUGUUUAUUUAGAGCUUUGCUCUCAGCAAAUUUUCAUCUUAUCCGUUGUGAUAAUCUUUUUCAUCUUAUUCCUCUCGUAUCUCAGCAAAAUUUGCUAUCUUGAUUUGUUUGUUUAGAGCUUUGCUCUCAACAAAAUUUCAUUUUGUCCAUUUUAAUAAUCUUUUUCAAGCAUUUUUCAUUGAAAUAACGAUUAAUGGACUGACAAUACACAUGCAGAAGGAGUUCUGCAUAUUACUCUGAAAGUUUCUAAAUAAUACGAGGACCUGAAACAGGACUAUUGUUUAGAACUAACCAAACCUAAGGGUUGGAAACAUUUGAGAAAUGAUAGUCUAAAUAGCAUCUAUUUCUUUAGGUUUUCUGUCAAAGGUACUGGCUGAACAAGAAGGCAUCAGUGAUAGAACCUUGAUGAACAAUGAGGAAUGACAACCUAAGCAUUAAAAAUGAAUCAUUCUCAUGACAUUCUACAAAUAUAAUACAUACACAUCUAGUUAGGAGCAUUUGAUUCAUUCUGAUCAUGUCAUCCUAAACACUAGGCGUAAAUAGGUCCUAUCUUCCUAUAUUGGUAGGAAGUGGAUCAAAGAUGCAGAUCUUGUCUUCCCAUAUUGGUGGCGAAGUAGAUCGAAGAAAGCAGAUCUUGUCUUCAUGUAUUGGCGUGAAGUAGAUCGAAGGUAGCAGAUCCUAUCUUCCUAUAUUGGUAGGAAGUGGAUCGAAGAUGCAGAUCUUGUCUUCCCAUAUUGGUGGCGAAGUAGAUCGAAGAAAGCAGAUCUUGUCUUCAUGUAUUGGCGUGAAGUAGAUCGAAGGUAGCAGAUCCUAUCUUCCUAUAUUGGUAGGAAGUGGAUCGAAGAUGCAGAUCUUGUCUUCCCAUAUUGGUGGCGAAGUAGAUCGUAGAAAGCAGAUCUUGUCUUCAUGUAUUGGCGUGAAGUAGAUCGAAGGUAGCAGAUCCUAUCUUCCUAUAUUGGUAGGAAGGGGAUCGAAGAUGCAGAUCUUGUCUUCCCAUAUUGGUGGCGAAGUAGAUCGCAGAAAGCAGGUCUUGUCUUCAUGUAUUGGCGUGAAGUAGAUCGAAGAUAGCAGGUCCUAUCUUCCUAUAUUGAUAGGAAGUGGAUCCAAGAUGCAGAUCUUGUCUUCCCAUACUAGUGGUGAAGUAGAUCGAAAAAAAAAAAAAGCAGAUCUGGUAUUCAUAUAUUGGUUUGAAGUAGAUCGAAGAUUGCAGAUCUUGCCUUCCUGUAUUUGGCAGCGAAGCAGAUCAAAGAUGGCGGAUUUUACCUCCCUGACUAUAGUGGAGUACAUUGAAGCCGAUAAUUCUAUCUCCCUGUAUUUGGCAGUGGAAUAGAUUGAAGAUUACAGAUCUUACCUUCCUGUAUUUGGCAGCGAAGCAGAUCAAAGAUGUCAGAUUUUACCUCCCUGACUACAGUGGAGUACAUUGAAGCCGAUAACUCUAUCUCCCUGUAUUUGGCAGUGGAAUAGAUUGAAGAUUACAGAUCUUAUCUCCCUAAGCAAUAAUGGAGUAGGUUGAAGACGGCAGAUUUUACCUCACUGAUUACAAUGGAGUACAUUGAAGCUGUUAGUUCUACUUCCCUGGGAAACAUUGGAAUAGAUUGAAGAUUUCAGGUCUUAUCUCCCUAAGUAGUAGUGGAGCAGAUCACACCCAAUCUUAUCUCCCUAAAUAGUAGUGGAGCAGACUAAAAACACAAAUCUCAUCCCCAUGGAGUCGUAGCAAAGUAUAUUGAAGCUACAAGGCGUAUCUGAAUUUGAAGUAGAGUGGAUCGAAGCAACAAGAUGUAGCAGGCUGGAAUAAGGCUACUUGAAGAAGAGAAGCACCCAAAGAAGUCAAGCCUCGGUGAGACCAGGCAAAUUUGGUCUUUUUUUAGUCCUUGCUCUGUUCUUGUUACACAAAAACGAGCAAAGAGGGGCAGCUGUAGAAGCCCAAAUUUGCCGGGCCCAUACCAACAAAAUAACCCAAACAAUAAACCCGAAGCCCAACUACCCCAGCCCAUUAACCUAAGCUCAGCAUUCAGAAACCCUAAUCCCACUAGCCCUAGCCACCUACCCCCCACUUGCCCACUUGCCCACUUGCGCCGAACACCACCAUGCCACUGUCGGCCAUGGCCACCUGCAAGAAGCCAAGUAGAAAUAAACAAAUAG
RNAcentral lists this long non-coding RNA (2985 nucleotides) under Gossypium barbadense (sea-island cotton). RNAcentral describes it as "long non-coding RNA (GBAR_LNC004690)". Lineage: Eukaryota; Viridiplantae; Streptophyta; Magnoliopsida; Malvales; Malvaceae. The record is from RNAcentral.